UAAUUUUAUGCUUUAUUGAUUUCAACAGGGGCCGAAUGUGUUGCGAGAGAAGAUAUAAUGGAAGCCAUAGAAAGAGCCAAGUUUGGAAUAAAUGAGAGACAGACAGGUCGCAUACUAAAGAAGGAACUUGGGAAGCUCUUUCCUUGGAUUCCUUCUCUGAUGGGUAGAAAUGAUACUGGACAAGACGGAAUGCAAGGUCCUCUAGGCUAUCAAACUCUAAGCUAAUGGUAUGUUCCCUUCUAGUUUUUAUUCAUGGAUUUGUGUAACAUCCUCAUGAGUGUAUAAUAUUCAAAAGAAGGGAGUUUUGUUCACUAUAAGCUAAGAAUAUUGUUUUAAUCUAGAGUGGGAACUAUUUUUAUACUUCCAAAGGUCCUAUAAUGGGCAAUCUGAUGAUUUGAGACUUGAUUUGUUUAUUUUUGCAUGUACAAAUAUCUUCUAUCAUUUAAAGCUAGC
Molecule: long non-coding RNA, 453 nt
Filed under: Olea europaea subsp. europaea
Lineage: Eukaryota; Viridiplantae; Streptophyta; Magnoliopsida; Lamiales; Oleaceae
Source: RNAcentral